CUUGUUAACAUAAGAGGUCCAGCCUGCCCAGUGACCUAGUUCAACGGCCGCGGUAUCCUAACCGUGCGAAGGUAGCGUAAUCACUUGUCUUCUAAAUAAAGACUAGUAUGAAAGGCACCACGAGAACUAAACUGUCUCCCUUUUCUAAUCAGUGAACCUAAUCUCCCCGUGAAGAAGCGGGGAUUUAUAAAUAAGACGAGAAGACCCUAUGGAGCUUUAAACACAUAACACCUGCCUAAACACCCACACCACGCAAGAUGAUUACAAGUUUUCAGUUGGGGCGACUACGGAGAAAGCCCACCCUCCGUGAUGAAUCUACAACAAGCUACAGCUUUAUGUAUCAAUAAACUGACACCAUUGACCCAAUAUAUUGAUCAACGAAC
RNAcentral lists this ribosomal RNA (383 nucleotides) under Pristimantis aff. vilarsi 2 AF-2022. Its description in RNAcentral is "partial large subunit ribosomal RNA". It matches the Rfam family "Archaeal large subunit ribosomal RNA", at positions 1914 to 2490 of the family's 2987-position model. The record is from RNAcentral. Lineage: Eukaryota; Metazoa; Chordata; Amphibia; Anura; Strabomantidae.